UGGGGAAUCUUGGACAAUGGGGGCAACCCUGAUCCAGCCAUGCCGCGUGAGUGAUGAAGGCCUUAGGGUCGUAAAGCUCUUUCGCCUGUGAAGAUAAUGACGGUAGCAGGUAAAGAAGUCCCCGGCUAACUCCGUGCCAGCAGCCGCGGUAAUACGGAGGGGGUUAGCGUUGUUCGGAAUUACUGGGCGUAAAGCGCACGUAGGCGGACCAGAAAGUUGGGGGUGAAAUCCCGGGGGCUCAACCCCGGAACUGCCUCCAAAACUAUUGGUCUAGAGUUCGAGAGAGGUGAGUGGAAUUCCAAGUGUAGAGGUGAAAUUCGUAGAUAUUUGGAGGAACACCAGUGGCGAAGGCGGCUCACUGGCUCGAUACUGACGCUGAGGUGCGAAAGUGUGGGGAGCAAACAGGAUUAGAUACCCUGGUAGUCCACACCGUAAAACGAUGAAUGCCAGUCGUCGGGUAGCAUGCUAUUCGGUGACACACCUAACGGAUUAAGCAUUCCGCCUGGGGAGUACGGUCGCAAGAUU
This 525-nucleotide ribosomal RNA is filed under the name uncultured bacterium. RNAcentral describes it as "bacterial SSU rRNA". It matches the Rfam family "Bacterial small subunit ribosomal RNA", at positions 355 to 895 of the family's 1533-position model. The record is from RNAcentral.